CAAUAGCGUAUAUUUAAGUUGUUGCAGUUAAAAAGCUCGUAGUUGGAUUUCGGGUGGGACGCAGCGGUCUCGCAUUGCGUUUGUACUGCUGCAGCCCUCCUUCUUGCCGGGGGCGGCCUCUCGGACUUCACUGUCUGGGGGUCAGAAUCGGCGAUGUUACUUUGAGUAAAUUAGAGUGCUCAAAGCAAGCUUACGCUCUGAAUAUAAUAGCAUGGGAUAACACGACAGGACUCUGGCCUAUCGUGUUGGUCUAUAGGACCAGAGUAAUGAUUAAGAGGGACAGUCGGGGGCAUUCGUAUUCCGUUGUCAGAGGUGAAAUUCUUGGAUUUACGGAAGACGAACAUCUGCGAAAGCAUUUGCCAAGGAUGUUUNCAUUGA
This 378-nucleotide ribosomal RNA is filed under the name uncultured eukaryote. RNAcentral's name for it is "partial 18S ribosomal RNA". It matches the Rfam family "Eukaryotic small subunit ribosomal RNA", at positions 592 to 976 of the family's 1831-position model. The record is from RNAcentral.